This 2055-nucleotide ribosomal RNA is filed under the name Triticum aestivum (bread wheat). RNAcentral describes it as "partial small subunit ribosomal RNA". Lineage: Eukaryota; Viridiplantae; Streptophyta; Magnoliopsida; Poales; Poaceae. The record is from RNAcentral.
AUGCCGGGGCUCGCCGCAGCGGACGCGUCGCCGCCGGCCGCGGCGCCGGCGCCGCGGCGGCUCUCCUCGCCGCUGCCGAGGCGGGCGCCGCCGUCGCCGUCCCCCUCCUCCGCGUCCCGCGCCGUCGGGAAGCCGGCGCGGAAGUCGCUCGGGCAGGGCCAGCACCCGGAGGCGACGGACGAGGCGGCGCUGGACAACCCGGAUCUGGGCCCCUUCCUGCUCAAGCAGGCGCGGGACGCCAUGGUGUCCGGCGAGGGCGGGGGCGCGGCGCGCGCGCUCGAGUUCGCCGAGCGUGCGGCCCGCGCGCUCGAGCGCCGCGGCGAGGGCGCCGAGCUCGAGCUCGCCAUGAGCCUCCACGUCGCCGCCGCGAUCCACUGCGGGCUCGGCCGGCACGCCGACGCCGUGCCCGUGCUCGAGCGCGCCGUCGCCGUCGUCACCCCGCCGCCCGCGCCGGCCCCCGUGGCCGAGGGUGAGGAGGUGCCGCAGCCGGAGGAGGAGGUGGAUGAGCGCAAGGGGGAGGAGUGGGCGCUCGCCGCCUUCUCCGGCUGGAUGCAGCUCGGCGACACCCACGCCAUGCUCGGCCGCAUGGACGAGUCCAUCGCCUGCUACGGCAAGGGCUUCGAGAUCCAGAUGGCCGCGCUCGGCGACCGCGACCCCCGCGUCGCCGAGACCUGCAGGUCAGUCGCCUUUUCUCGAUCUAGAUCUCCCUCUCCGUUGCUUCCACCUCCUCCAAUUUUACUCGUCAAAAGAAAAAUCUCACCUUUUUUCACUGCCUUUAGUUUUAGUUUUAUGUUGCCGCGGAUCUCUGCAAAAAUUGGCAUUAAGAUCACAGCAAACACCUACGAAAUUCACAGACAAAGACCAAAAAUAACAAAUGCGUUGCUCUUGUACGAUGACAGGUAUCUGGCGGAAGCGCAUGUGCAAGCUCUGCAGUUCGAUGAGGCAGAGAAACUGUGCCGCAAAGCCCUCGAGAUCCACCGGGAGCACAGUGCACCUGCAUCCCUCGAGGAGGCCUCCGAUCGCCGGCUGAUGGCCCUUAUCCUGGACGCCAAGGGUGACUAUGACGGCGCCCUGGAGCACCUUGUACUGGCUUCCAUGACCAUGGUUGCCAAUGGACGCGACGUCGAGGUUGCGACGAUUGAUGUCGCGAUAGGCAACACUUACCUGGCCCUUGCUCGUUUCGACGAGUCUGUCUUCUCAUACCAGAAGGCUUUGACUGUACUCAAGUCUGCCCGUGGCGACGACCACCCUUCAGUGGCAUCUGUCUUCGUCCGCCUUGCUGAUCUCUAUCACCGCACAGGGAAGCUCCGUGAGUCCAAAUCCUACUGUGAGAAUGCUCUCCGUGUCUAUGCAAAGCCCGCGCCUGGUGCUGCCCCUGAUGAGGUUGCUGGAGGCCUAAUGGAGAUUGCUGCCAUCUAUGAGGCGCUUGGAGACCUUGAUGAGGCCCUAAAGCUUCUUCAAAGGGCACUGAAGUUGCUCGAGGACUCACCAGGGCAGUGGAGCACUGUUGCUGGGAUCGAAGCACAAAUGGGUGUGUUGUACUACAUGAUAGGGAGGUAUGCCGAUUCAAGGAACUCGUUCGAGAGCGCGGUUUCCAAAUUGAGGGCCAGUGGGGAAAGGAAGUCGGCAUUUUUCGGUGUUCUGCUGAACCAGAUGGGGCUAGCUUGCGUACAGCUGUUCAAGAUUGAUGAGGCUGCACAGCUGUUUGAAGAAGCACGGGCAGUUCUAGAGCAGGAGUGUGGUGCCUCUCAUCCUGAUACUCUUGGCGUAUACAGCAACCUGGCUGCGAUCUAUGAUGCCAUGGGAAGGGUGGAGGACGCGAUUGAGAUCCUGGAGCAUGUGCUGAAGGUGCGGGAGGAGAAGCUGGGCACGGCGAACCCGGACGUGGAGGAUGAGAAGAAGCGGCUGGCGGAGCUGCUGAAGGAGGCGGGGCGGUCCCGGAACCGGAAGCAGAAGUCGCUGGAGAACCUGUUCGGGUCCGGCGGUGCUGCGCGGGGCGCCAAGAAGGACGGCUCCGGGGGCAGGCGGUGGACCAACUUCGGGUUCAGGAGCUGA